This 396-nucleotide ribosomal RNA is filed under the name uncultured bacterium. RNAcentral's name for it is "partial 16S ribosomal RNA". It matches the Rfam family "Bacterial small subunit ribosomal RNA", at positions 523 to 918 of the family's 1533-position model. The record is from RNAcentral.
AUACGUAGGGGGCGAGCGUUGUCCGGAAUGAUUGGGCGUAAAGGGCGCGUAGGCGGCCCGGUAAGUCUGGAGUGAAAGUCCUGUUUUUAAGAUGGGAAUUGCUUUGGAUACUGUCGGGCUUGAGUGCAGGAGAGGUAAGUGGAAUUCCCAGUGUAGCGGUGAAAUGCGUAGAUAUAAGGAAGAACACCAGUGGCGAAGGCGGUCUACUGGACAGUAACUGACGCUGAGGCGCGAAAGCGUGGGGAGCAAACAGGAUUAGAUACCCUGGUAGUCCACGCUGUAAACGAUGAAUACUAGGUGUGGGGGGACUGACCCCCUCCGUGCCGCAGUUAACACAAUAAGUAUUCCACCUGGGGAGUACGGCCGCAAGGUUGAAACUUAAAGGAAUUGGCGGGG